UACAGAGGGGGCAAGCGUUGUUCGGAAUUACUGGGCGUAAAGGGCUCGUAGGCGGCCUGCUAAGUCGAACGUGAAAUCCCUGGGCUCAACCCAGGAACUGCGUCCGAUACUGGUUGGCUUGAAUCCGGGAGAGGGAUGUGGAAUUCCAGGUGUAGCGGUGAAAUGCGUAGAUAUCUGGAGGAACACCGGUGGCGAAGGCGACAUCCUGGACCGGCAUUGACGCUGAGGCGCGAAAGCCAGGGGAGCAAACGGG
RNAcentral lists this ribosomal RNA (253 nucleotides) under uncultured bacterium. RNAcentral's name for it is "partial 16S ribosomal RNA". It matches the Rfam family "Bacterial small subunit ribosomal RNA", at positions 524 to 776 of the family's 1533-position model. The record is from RNAcentral.